AAAUUAAUAAUUAUAUGUCCGUGUUGAACAUGUACGCAAAUACUAAUGCUAAAUAAAAAUCAUAAAAAAUACAAAAUAAUCCGAAGCAAACACAAGUAAAAAGUACCAGAGAAAAAGCAAAAAACACAAACUCAUCCACCACAGCAAAAUACAAAAUUAAAUAAGCAUGAAAAUAUAUAUAGGAGCACAUUGGAGGGGAGAAUUUCAUUACUUCAGCCAUCGUCGGUUCAGUAUUACAAGAAAAAUAUGUGAAUGUUUUCAAAUCUCACCUUUAGCAUUCAAAAACAACUAUCUGUGCAGAGUAUCUAUCUGUAUAAAAUAUUUAUGAACAUUGGCGUCCGCAUACUAGCACAAUUGAACGCACGCCCGGUGAACUAUAUUAGAAGCCUGCCAACACCAUCACAAAUAUUUUAUCUAAGAAUACAACUAUCAUCACAGCCACAAAGAGCACAGCAUAGCAAAAUAUCAUUGUUAGAAAUGAAUUAAUUAGUGCAAAUAUAGUACUGGUUAGUCAGGGCUAAAAACAAAAUUUAUUUAAACCUUUGAAUUAACUCGCACAUAAUUGAAGUUAUGAAUAUGGUAUAUACUUUACAUACAUUAUGUACAAAUAAGUGUGGUGUUUGUGAUUCAAUCUCCGAUCUGUUUUAAAAGCUCACUUUUGUAAAUGUAAUAUGUAUUUCAGUUCUGCUGGAAGUAUCGGCAUCGUUUGUCUAUUUGAACUGUUAGUUUAAACGGAUCCCUCAAAAAUAUAAUGUAAAAGGUGUAAAGUAUUGGUAUCGGUUGUCUAUUUAAAUUGUUAGUUUGUACGGAUCCCUAAAAGGAAUAAUGUAAAUGUGUGCGAAAAUGCCAAAGUACAGUCGAAGUCUAACAUCCAGAAGACCACGUAAAUGUCUGACGAGAUCUUAAAAAAUAAUUAUUCACGCAAAAACAAUUCUCGCGUCUACAAAGAUUGAAUAUAUGGAAUUGAAUUAUGACUGCCGCAAAGAAAAACGCAAUUAUCACACGUCGCUAUAUAGAAUGAAACUCUAUAAACAUGAAAGUGAGGUUUGCACCAAACAUGGGUGAUAUAACUUAAAAAAUAAAAUUGCAUGUUUUUGUUUUGAAAUAAUGCUGUUUUGUCGUUGAGGCAAUAAAUCCUAUUACAUCUACAUACAAUAAAAACAAUAAUAUACGUAAUCCUACUUGGUCAUUUCGUAUGUAUGUUACGAGAUGUGUUUUAAUGAGCUUGGCGAUUUUCGUUUGUUAAAAGAAAUGGGUCGAAGUUCGAGAUUUCUUAGCCAAAAACAAUACUGUAACGAUGCCCCAGCCUUUUUUCCUAUUUCCAAAAAUAAAGAGAGCCGUCGUUCUACAAGCAUAGAUGACGUUAAAAGCGCGUCUCUUUAAGAGCUCGUACACUUAAGCUCUAAUCCCGAGUCAUCGUCGAGACUGCUAUAAAACAAAUGGCAUAGAAAUACGCCGCUAAGGUAGUUCCUCCUAUCGUGUAAAUCGAAGCUGAUGUUCAUUGAGUUCAAUAUUUUUUUUAGCUUAAUGCAACGUGAUGCGCCUGGCUGAGUAGCAUUUGCAAAUAUGGAUGAUUGCUCUAAGGCACUACCAAAGUUUAUUGUUUUCGAUGUCAUAAUGUCCAUCGCCAGGCUUGAAAUCGGUCUCGGAGUCUAAAUUAACAUUGUUCUCCGGCUUAAAAUUGGGAUCGGCAAUGCCAUCAUCGUCUCCUUCAAACCCGUCCUCACUGUCCUUAAAAUUCAUCAAUUCCUCAAAGAUGUGCUCAUUUGUGAAGCUGCGGAUUCCAUUCUUUUAAAGUAAAGCAGAAACCAAGCAUAAGCAGUUUUAAUUACCCUUGUAACUCAAUGUUACAGGAAUGACACAAACAUUAAUUUUGUAUCUGUAUCAUAAUAUGGACACUUUUUUUUCUUAGUCAAUGCAAAAUAUACACAAAAAUCAACUUAACUGUACCUCAAA
This is a long non-coding RNA of Bactrocera oleae (olive fruit fly), 1956 nucleotides long. RefSeq lists it as uncharacterized. The record is from RefSeq and is a predicted model, not a curated record. NCBI's taxonomy places the organism in Eukaryota, Metazoa, Arthropoda, Insecta, Diptera, Tephritidae.